This 497-nucleotide ribosomal RNA is filed under the name uncultured bacterium. Its description in RNAcentral is "partial 16S ribosomal RNA". It matches the Rfam family "Bacterial small subunit ribosomal RNA", at positions 29 to 507 of the family's 1533-position model. The record is from RNAcentral.
UAUGAACGCUGGCGGCGUGCCUAAUACAUGCAAGUCGAGCGAACAGACGAGGAGCUUGCUCCUCUGAUGUUAGCGGCGGACGGGUGAGUAACACGUGGAUAACCUACCUAUAAGACUGGGAUAACUUCGGGAAACCGGAGCUAAUACCGGAUAACAUGUUGAACCGCAUGGUUCAACAGUGAAAGACGGUCUUGCUGUCACUUAUAGAUGGAUCCGCGCCGCAUUAGCUAGUUGGUAAGGUAACGGCUUACCAAGGCAACGAUGCGUAGCCGACCUGAGAGGGUGAUCGGCCACACUGGAACUGAGACACGGUCCAGACUCCUACGGGAGGCAGCAGUAGGGAAUCUUCCGCAAUGGGCGAAAGCCUGACGGAGCAACGCCGCGUGAGUGAAGAAGGUCUUCGGAUCGUAAAACUCUGUUAUUAGGGAAGAACAAAUGUGUAAGUAACUAUGCACGUCUUGACGGUACCUAAUCAGAAAGCCACGGCUAACUACGUG